Long non-coding RNA from Cavia porcellus (domestic guinea pig), 796 nucleotides. RefSeq lists it as uncharacterized. The transcript has 2 exons. NCBI's taxonomy places the organism in Eukaryota, Metazoa, Chordata, Mammalia, Rodentia, Caviidae. The record is from RefSeq and is a predicted model, not a curated record.
UCUCCACAAACUGUGAGCUAAAUAAACCUUGCCUUCCUUAAUUUAGGGUGUCGGGUAUUUUGUCCCAGCAACGAGAGAAAAGUAAUCAAGACAGUAGUUGUUUCCACAAUUCCAAGGAUUAUGGCAGCUGCUCCUCCUAUCACUGUACAGUGUGUGCCUGGAGAGCUGUGCCUGGACUGCUGAUGGGAUGAUGUGCCACUUACGUGUGAAGGCACAGCUUCACAGAUUUAAGAACACAGCUAGAGGGGGGAAAAAAAACCACCCAUAGCUGCCCCCCCCCCAUAGGCCAGGAACUGUACUCUGUAGUAUGCACAGCAUCCCACAGUGAGAAUUUCAGGUAAGGCAUCACUCUCCCCUAAGCACCGUAAUUCAGAAUCUUGGUUCUCCCCUCUUCCCUUUUCCGGUGUGACGGUCCCCAAAUGGCCCUGGGCUCCAGUUCCUCUCGCACUAAUGCUGCCACUUCCUAACUCGACCUCUAGGGCGUCUCCCCUCCGCUCAGAACUCAGGUCUCCAACUCUGCCACACGCAAGGAUCUCGGGAUUCAAAGACUGGAGGAGAGGGAUCUCUCUGUGUUGCCCAGGCUGGCUUUGAUCUCACAGUGAUUCUUCUGCCUCAGCUUCUCAAAUGCUGGAAUUACAGGUGUGUACUACCAUGUCCAGCUUUACAGACUAUAUUUUUGAACCACUGGAUGCCACUGGAUGGAGUGUGAUGAGUUCCCCCCAAACACAAGAUGAUACCCUGGAGAGGCUUCUGUGCCUGUUGUUGCAGAAAAAGACCAAAAAAAAAAAAAAAAGAA